GACGAACGCUGGCGGCGUGCUUAACACAUGCAGGUCGAACGGAAAGGCCCUGCUUUUGUGGGGUGCUCGAGUGGCGAACGGGUGAGUAACACGUGAGUAACCUGCCCUUGACUUUGGGAUAACUUCAGGAAACUGGGGCUAAUACCGGAUAGGAGCUCCUGCUGCAUGGUGGGGGUUGGAAAGUUUCGGCGGUUGGGGAUGGACUCGCGGCUUAUCAGCUUGUUGGUGGGGUAGUGGCUUACCAAGGCUUUGACGGGUAGCCGGCCUGAGAGGGUGACCGGCCACAUUGGGACUGAGAUACGGCCCAGACUCCUACGGGAGGCAGCAGUGGGGAAUAUUGCACAAUGGGCGGAAGCCUGAUGCAACAACGCCGCGUGCGGGAUGACGGCCUUCGGGUUGUAAACCGCUUUCGCCUGUGACGAAGCGUGAGUGACGGUAAUGGGUAAAGAAGCACCGGCUAACUACGUG
RNAcentral lists this ribosomal RNA (468 nucleotides) under uncultured bacterium. Its description in RNAcentral is "partial 16S ribosomal RNA". It matches the Rfam family "Bacterial small subunit ribosomal RNA", at positions 28 to 507 of the family's 1533-position model. The record is from RNAcentral.